GCUCCUACGGGAGGCAGCAGUGGGGAAUAUUGGACAAUGGGGGAAACCCUGAUCCAGCGACGCCGCGUGGGUGAAGAAGGCCUGCGGGUUGUAAAGCCCUUUCGGUGGGGAAGAAAAGCCUCGACCUAAUACGUCGGGGUCUUGACGUAACCCAUAGAAGAAGCACCGGCUAACUCUGUGCCAGCAGCCGCGGUAAUACAGAGGGUGCGAGCGUUAAUCGGAAUUACUGGGCGUAAAGCGCGCGUAGGCGGCUUUGCAAGUCGGGUGUGAAAUCCCCGGGCUCAACCUGGGAACUGCAUUCGAUACUGCAUUGCUCGAGUAUGGGAGAGGGAGGCGGAAUUUCCGGUGUAGCGGUGAAAUGCGUAGAUAUCGGAAGGAACAUCAGUGGCGAAAGCGGCCUCCUGGACCAAUACUGACGCUCAUGUGCGAAAGCGUGGGGAGCAAACAGGAUUAGAUACCCUGGUAGUCA
Molecule: ribosomal RNA, 469 nt
Filed under: uncultured Sinobacteraceae bacterium
Lineage: Bacteria; Pseudomonadati; Pseudomonadota; Gammaproteobacteria; Nevskiales; Nevskiaceae
Description: bacterial SSU rRNA
Rfam family: Bacterial small subunit ribosomal RNA
Source: RNAcentral